UUUUGCCGCCGCUUCUCUGAUGUCUCGAUGUCUUUCUCUUGGGUUUGACGUUGAAAAAAUUCAAUAUUUUGACAGCAUUGUGUGUUGAGUUAUAGAACUGAAUUAAUUUGUCAAUCAAAGUGGAUAGAUAAAGGAAAUAUUAGGAGAGCAGAGAGAGUGGUUCCCCCGAAAACUGGCUGCCAGGGCAACCCGCUUAUCCUCCACCCACAAAUGGCAUUGCUGUGAUUGGCAAAGAAAUAUGCUAGACCACUUUUCCACGCAUUUGCCCCACUGUACAUACCAUAGCGAUUACGCGCUGGCGUGGAAUCGAACGGCAAUCGCACUUGCGGUACAAACAACGUUGUUCUGGGUUCUGGAUUCUGGAUUUUGGAUUCUGGAUACUCCUUCCCGUUCUACUCGUCGUAUUUGUCCCGAUCUUGGGACUGGUGUUGUAUAUGUUUACAAAUCGUGAUUCAAGUAGUAGCGUCAAUACGAAAAUGUUUCUCCAAGGCGCAUCCCCCCCCACCACUCAAACAGCCAUUGUGGAGCUGCGCGGCAUUCAACCGAAUUGGGUUGUAUCUGUGUGUUUGUGUGUGUGUAUCUGUGUGAUCAUCGUCAAGGCGGCCAUGAAGAUGGAUUUCUUUCUUUCAGUCUUGAGAGAGGGAGAGAGAGAGAGAGAUCUUUCUUUUGGGCCAGCAACAAAGCCAAAGAAGUUGUUUUGUUGUGGCAAGCAUUGUUGCUGUGAUCAAAGCGGCUUGGCGCGUCUCACAUAUGAGUUUGAUGUUCUUUUCUCCACCGCACUCCACCGCAGAUUGUGGCACAAAGGGGGAGUCAAUAGGUUGUAUACCCUUCGUUUAGAUGCCAUAGAAAUCAUGAGUCUUCGUGGAAGAGGGUAUCAAAGCCUUCGGCACUUAAGAGUCCACCUUCCCUUUCACGUUUUUCUUGUAUUAAAUUGUAAUUACUCAU
RNAcentral lists this small RNA (945 nucleotides) under Drosophila pseudoobscura pseudoobscura. RNAcentral describes it as "GA30953". Lineage: Eukaryota; Metazoa; Arthropoda; Insecta; Diptera; Drosophilidae. The record is from RNAcentral.